CCCGCCCGGGUCCAGCUCCCGCCCCAGCACCAUGAAGACGCUUCUCCUCUGCUGCCUCGUCUGGGCCCUGCUGGAGACAGGGACCUGUGUUUUGUGUGAGGUCUGCCACAGCGAAGGUGACAGCUGUAUGGGCCCUGUGAAAUUCUGCAGCAAGGAACUGGAUUCCUGCGGGAUCAUGAAAACAGAAUCCGUAGUAGAUAGGUCAGAAUCACACCUGUGAAGCGUUGCAAGGGGGAGGCAGAGACCUGAAGCCUCAUCUCCUCUUCCUCC
Pelodiscus sinensis (Chinese soft-shelled turtle) is the source of this 270-nucleotide non-coding RNA. NCBI's taxonomy places the organism in Eukaryota, Metazoa, Chordata, Testudines, Trionychidae. The record is from RefSeq and is a predicted model, not a curated record.